AGAGUGAAGCAUCCUUGACAAAGAAGAGAGAAGCCACUUCAAAGCGAUAAAUAUUUUCUAACUCUUCUUUGUAGUUUAUAUUGUUUCAUUUGCUCAUUUAGGAGUUUAAAUCUUUCUUUUUGUUUGUUAAACUACUUGUAAAGGUUGGUUGGUUAGCCCGCAAAACCAACGGGAUAGGUUUUUGGUGAGCCCGGAAAACCAAAGUGUAAAGGUUCG
This 216-nucleotide long non-coding RNA is filed under the name Phoenix dactylifera (date palm). RNAcentral's name for it is "long non-coding RNA (PDAC_LNC019754)". The record is from RNAcentral. Lineage: Eukaryota; Viridiplantae; Streptophyta; Magnoliopsida; Arecales; Arecaceae.